RNAcentral lists this ribosomal RNA (2006 nucleotides) under metagenome. Its description in RNAcentral is "bacterial LSU rRNA". It matches the Rfam family "Bacterial large subunit ribosomal RNA", at positions 1 to 1977 of the family's 2925-position model. The record is from RNAcentral.
UAAAAUAAUUAAGGGCACACAGGGAAUGCCUAGGUAGUAAGAGCCGAUGAAGGACGUGGUAAGCUGCGAUAAGCUUGGGUUAGCUGCAAACGAGCGCCAACCCCAAGAUUUCCGAAUGGAGCAAUCUGCUAAGAUGGAGUCUUAGCACGAAAGAGGGUACCGAGUGAACUGAAACAUCUAAGUAACUCGAGGAAAAGAAAGUAAAAACGAUUCCCCAAGUAGCGGCGAGCGAACGGGGAUGAGCCUAAACCAUAUAAGUGUCAAGGAUACAGCCGUUGCUUAUAUGGGGUUGUGGGAAGAACGUUUGAAGAACUGUAAGAUAUUCAACAUAUCUAAUGACCGAACUGGAACUAGUUGGAAAGCUAGAUCGUAGAAGGUGAUAAUCCUGUACAGGUAAACUCAUUAGAAUGUAUGUUCUCUCCCAAGUAACAUGGAACACGAGGAAUUCUGUGUGAAUCUGCGAGGACCAUAUCUCGUAAGGCUAAAUACUCUUACUAACCGAUAGCGUAUAGUACCGUGAGGGAAAGGUGAAAAGAACCCCGGGAGGGGAGUGAAAUAGAACCUGAAACCGUAUGUCUACAAGCAGUCGAAGCACCUUAAGAGUGCGACGGCGUGCCUAUUGAAGAAUGAACCGGCGAGUUACAUUAUGUUGCGAGGUUAAGUGGGAGACACGGAGCCGAAGCGAAAGCGAGUCUUAAUAGGGCGACUAGUAACAUGGUGUAGACCCGAAACCGCAGUGAUCUAUCCAUGGUCAGGUUGAAGCGCAGGUAAAAAUGCGUGGAGGACCGAACCCGUGAGUGUUGAAAAACUUUGGGAUGAACCGUGGAUAGGGGUGAAAUGCCAAUCGAACGCGGAGAUAGCUGGUACUCCCCGAAAUAGCUUUAGGGCUAGCCUCAGGGAAGAUUAUAGACGGUAGAGCACUGAUCUGGCAAGGGGGCGUAAAGCCUACCGACCCUAGUCAAACUUCGAAUGGCUAUAAUUAAGACCCUGGGAGUCAGACUGCGAGUGAUAAGACCCGUAGUCAAGAGGGAAACAGCCCAGACCGCCGACUAAGGUCCCCAAUGCUGUACUAAGUGGAAAAGGAUGUAAGACUUCAUAAACAACCAGGAUGUUGGCUUAGAAGCAGCCAUCAUUAAAAGAGUGCGUAAUAGCUCACUGGUCGAGAGGCCUUGCGCCGAAGAUGUCCGGGGCUCAAGUACAGAACCGAAGUCGCGGCAGGAUUAUAUAAUUCUGGGUAGGGGAGCGUUGUAUAUCCGACUGAAGGUGUACCGGAAGGAGCGCUGGAGGAUAUACAAGAGAGAAUGCCGGUAUGAGUAGCGAAAAGAACAGUGAGAAUCUGUUCCACCGAAAGCCUAAGGUUUCCUGAGCAACGCUCGUCGACUCAGGGUAAGUCGGGACCUAAGCCGAGGCAAAAAGCAUAGGCGAUGGACAACAGGUUAAUAUUCCUGUACCGCUUCAAAUCGUUUGAGCAAUGGAGUGACACAGAAGGUAGCUUGAGCACGCGAUUGGAUGUGCGUGUCGAAGGUGGUAGGUUGCAGUAUAGGCAAAUCCGUACUGUAUAAGACCGAGAACUGAUAGAUAGACGAUACUUCGGUAAAGUCAAAUUCAAGUGAGCCAUGCUGUCGAGAAAAGCUUCUAGUGAGAGAUGAGGCGCCCGUACCGAAACCGACACAGGUAGGCGGGGAGAGAAUCCUAAGGUGCGCGGGACAACCCUCGUUAAGGAACUCGGCAAAUUGUAUCCGUAACUUAGGGAUAAGGAUAGCCGGAGGAUGUGAAGGGAUUUACUUCUGGAGCGUCAGCCGGUGGCACAAGAGAGGCCCAAGCGACUGUUUAGCACAAACACAGGUGCCUGCAAAAGAGAAAUCUGACGUAUAGGUGCUGACACCUGCCCGGUGCUGGAAGGUUAAGAGGAGGGCUUAGAGGCAACUCGAAGGCUUGAAUUGAAGCCCCAGUAAACGGCGGCCGUAACUAUAACGGUCCUAAGGUAGCGAAAUUCCUUGUCGGGU